Triticum dicoccoides is the source of this 700-nucleotide long non-coding RNA. RefSeq lists it as uncharacterized. The transcript is spliced from 2 exons. The record is from RefSeq and is a predicted model, not a curated record. Lineage: Eukaryota; Viridiplantae; Streptophyta; Magnoliopsida; Poales; Poaceae.
UGCCUUCCUUUCUCCAUCUCCUUCUCCAGUCGCUGCCUUCCGUCCCCUCCUAGCUGCUUCUCUCGGCUCCGAGUCCACACUGGGGCAAGUAUCGACGCCGCGACGUCCAGGCCGACCCACACCGUGCGGUGGUGUGCGCCUGGAUUUCGGGGGGCCGCACCGACUCGUCCCCGGGGAGCUGCGUCGUGGUGGGCGUUGCCACCGAACGCGAAGGGAAGCGAUGACUCCACUGCCCGAGCGGCGGCGGACGGCAGGAUAUGGCGCUAGCGAGAUGGUUCGUUGAGCCGCGGCAGAGGCAGCUGUCGCUGGUUAGGAAGGCAGCAACACAGCCACGGUUCAGGCCGCCCAUCUCUGUCCGAUGCUGCCGCGCUGAGGCACCAAGCGAGCCGCAUCGAGUCGGCACUCUACAGGCGCCUGGCUGAGGCGGCUCCGUUGUGCUGGGAUGCUGUCGUCCCUUCUUCAAUGGCGUCCGUCGCAGACGGCGUCCUCACCCCCAGAGCUAAAGUUUAGUGGGCUUAAAUUCCAACUGGGCCACUAAGUUAAUGGGCUGCCACGUAAUUCCAUGUCAGCAGAUGAUGUGGCAUACAAGUUAACGUCGUUAUAAGCACUUCAGUUAGGUGCAAUUCACGACGGACAAAAUCCGUCACGGAGUGUACAAUCAUCAAUUAUGACGCGAUAUACAUGACAGAUUUCAAAUCCA